Molecule: ribosomal RNA, 615 nt
Filed under: Salmonella enterica subsp. enterica serovar Typhimurium
Lineage: Bacteria; Pseudomonadati; Pseudomonadota; Gammaproteobacteria; Enterobacterales; Enterobacteriaceae
Description: partial 23S ribosomal RNA
Rfam family: Bacterial large subunit ribosomal RNA
Source: RNAcentral
CAAGACAACUUUACGGAGUUGACGAUUGACGGAGCGAAGCGACGUCAAAGCGUUCAUUAAAGUCGAGUUGGCUUAGGGAUACGUUCGUUGGGUAGGGGAGCGUUCUGUAAGCCUGUGAAGGUGUGUCGUGAGGCAUGCUGGAGGUAUCAGAAGUGCGAAUGCUGACAUAAGUAACGAUAAAGCGGGUGAAAAGCCCGCUCGCCGGAAGACCAAGGGUUCCUGUCCAACGUUAAUCGGGGCAGGGUGAGUCGACCCCUAAGGCGAGGCCGAAAGGCGUAGUCGAUGGGAAACGGGUUAAUAUUCCCGUACUUGGUGUUACUGCGAAGGGGGGACGGAGAAGGCUAUGUUGGCCGGGCGACGGUUGUCCCGGUUUAAGCGUGUAGGUGUGUGUUCCAGGUAAAUCCGGUUCACUUUAACACUGAGGCGUGACGACGAGGCACUACGGUGCUGAAGCAACAAAUGCCCUGCUUCCAGGAAAAGCCUCUAAGCAUCAGGUAACAUCAAAUCGUACCCCAAACCGACACAGGUGGUCAGGUAGAGAAUACCAAGGCGCUUGAGAGAACUCGGGUGAAGGAACUAGGCAAAAUGGUGCCGUAACUUCGGGAGAAGGCACGC